AGGUCUUGGACAUGUCUUGGACAUGAGACAUAUGAGCUCAUUUUAAAUAGGGUGCCAAUACUUUAUCAGUUUUAAGAAAAAAUACAGAGAAUGUUGAGUACAAGCUUAAAAUCUUCAGGCAUGUGGUGCACUACACAGCACCUGCAAGAAAAAGAGAUAAAAUAAAGUUCGAGACAGUCAGUACCCUACUGAACAUCACUGAGCCGUACUGUCCGCUAGACACGCUGGGCCAAUCAGUGAUCUGCAGUGCUUCUAGCUCCACCCACAUGCCCCAGAAAAUAAAGCCAUUCUAUUCUAUUCUAUUCUGUGAAAGCUGUUGAGUUCAAUGCUUUCGCACCUGCUUCUGCUCAAUAAGUAAGUUAUUAACCUUUCAACAGGGCACGUUGACACGACAGGAGAAAAAUACUCUGUACAGAGCCGUUUCACUUCAGUAUCCCACAGGAGUAACACCGCCUGACCCGGAUUAAUUCACCAAUAACAUUAUAUAGGAAUUAGGUGUAGAUAUACAUAAUCCAGUAAAUUAGUGUAUUAGUGGAUGAGAAUGAUAUUAAACCUAAGUAGAAAUGUAGUAUAAUCACACCACUGAGUUGCGAAGGUUGGUUCCCACGUUCCAGUUCUCCACCUGUUGCCUCCCCUCUCUCUGUCAGGGUUGGGCUUUACACACACACACACACACACACACACACCUGCUCCCAGGUGUUGUUUACCAGCACAGCAGGCUGGGAGUCGGGAUUGUCCCUGUCACGCUCAGGAACAGAACUGGGAAACUCGUGUGGAAUGUUCUCGUGCCUUAUCUCCCGACUCCCGAGCCGACGCCCAGCUCUACACUUCCUCUUCUCACUCUGAUAACAUGGAAAUUCCUCGACCAAUAAACUUCCCCUGUUCCAGAGAAAAAGAAAAGCGUGUUAAAAAGGGGCGGUGAACUCCGGCGAGGCGGUGAGAAGGCGUGAGAGAGAAUGCUGGAAAGGUCAGAGGAAACGUACAAGAGUUUUUUUCUCUUAGAAAAGCUAACAAUAAUGUGGAAAUCCUGAAGAACCUUCCAGAAACCUACAGAGAGAAAGCGAGUCACCACAACUCUCUGAGACGAAUGGUUCGAAUAUGUGGAGAUGAAAGAGGCCAGCUGUGUGGAGUUAUUGUUGGUGUCAGUAGGAAGCGCUGAUGGACCCUGCAGCAGAACAAAAGCCCUUCGGCAGCUCCAGACUCUCUGGCUCCACUCGAGAUUCUCUCCCACAAGCUGGACUCUGCAGAGCAAUUGUUUCAGCACAGAGCCCCCGCCUCUCUCUCUCUCUCUCUCUCUCUCUCUCUCUCUCUCUCUCUCUCUCGCUCUCUCUCUCUCUCUCUCUCUCUCUCUCUCCUCUCUCUUCCUCUCUCCUACAUCCACCGAUACCCUGACCUGAAACAGCCGGGUCUGAGGAUGUCACUGAAAUGAGGGAGAGGAGAUCCUACACUACCAUGGCUGGGGGCCAAUACUUGCACACCAUUAAAGCAUUCUUUAUGCUUAAUUAAGAUUUUAUCAAGAAAUGCUUCAAUGUGAAUUAAAGACUUUUUUAAAAAAAAAAAAGUUUAAAAUGUGAUAAUAAUAUUAAUUAAAAUGUUGUGUUGUAUUUUAUAUCAAGCUUGUAUUUAUAUGUUUUGUUGCAUGUGAUAUUACACCAGACGAAAGGAACAGAAUGGAUUUGGUCAUUUUUAGAGAACAUAGGCAAAUAAGUAAACACACACUUUUGAUCUUGUCCUAAAUAAAAUUCUCC
This is a long non-coding RNA of Ictalurus punctatus (channel catfish), 1748 nucleotides long. Lineage: Eukaryota; Metazoa; Chordata; Actinopteri; Siluriformes; Ictaluridae. The record is from Ensembl.